This is a long non-coding RNA of Cololabis saira (Pacific saury), 1083 nucleotides long. RefSeq lists it as uncharacterized. The record is from RefSeq and is a predicted model, not a curated record. The transcript is spliced from 6 exons. NCBI's taxonomy places the organism in Eukaryota, Metazoa, Chordata, Actinopteri, Beloniformes, Belonidae.
AGAAAACAAAGAAGACAUUGCUUUUUCUUUUUCAUGCUCUGCCCGCAAAAAAGUGUACAAUAUUCAAAAUGAAUUCGCAAUCCCAGCGGCGCAGGAGAGUGACGUCACGGCUUCUCCUGUUCUCCAGCUGCAGCCCAGAAACUGCUCACGUUUUUUAAGGUGACAUCGUAUUUUGCCGAUUUCCCAAAGUCUGUUAGAAAAGGUCUGAUUUCCUACAACUCUAACAGAGUUCUAGAUGUCAACAUGAGACACAGACAGUAGCGGCGUUUCUCUACACGGAGCGUUGGUGCCGGGCUGACUCCUCCUAUUCAGACACGUGUGUUUGUUUACAACCUAUGGAGCACGAAAUGCAAAGAGGAGCAACGUCGACCGACAAGCUUUGUACAUAGACGAGUUGCAUCAAGUCCAGGCAAGGGACACGCAGAAAUUCUACCCCUGUCGUUGUCCAGCGUGACAGUCUGACCGUCAACGGUAUUUUUUCAUACACAUGCAUUUCCUGAAAAUUACUGCUGAGGAGCAGCAUGAGUCUCCAGAUGAGGAGGAGAUCAAUUAUUUGAGAAAAACAAUCAUUGACAUCGAUGAUCCUGGUCAGAGGUUCAGGAAAAGGAGACGGCUCUGAUGAGGAAUAUAUUCCUCACCUUUGUUUAUGGACAACUUCAGACUUCGAGAACUUCCAAAAUCACAUCCUGAUGUUUGCAGGAAAGCAUUUUGGCUUUAGCCCACCUGUAUACACAGCUCAGACAUUGCUUGUAACACUUGGUUACAACCACCGCCUCCCUGCACGAAACCGUGAUGGGACACAAGAUUUACCGAUGGUUCUACAAUAAAAACAUGAAGAGCGGGAGUGUGUAUACCCUGAAAGAGAAAAAGGACUAUGGCUACUGUACAUCCCUGAACUACAGAAGGCCACUCUUUCAAAGAGGCUUCAGAGUGGAAAGGGCCUUCCCAGGAGACAGAGUCUGAGGCCUGGAGAUCCAAGGCCCCUGGGUCUGCUGCCACAUCACAACCACAACCACACAUGGACUGGUAAAAACUAAGGUGUCACGUGGAGAUGCAGGUCCUCAUGAUGACAGCUAAAACUUU